Molecule: non-coding RNA, 685 nt
Organism: Carassius carassius (crucian carp)
Lineage: Eukaryota; Metazoa; Chordata; Actinopteri; Cypriniformes; Cyprinidae
Source: the annotation of a RefSeq genome assembly
UGGGACUUUAUGAUUUUAUGACUGACAGCUCUCCUUCUUGAUAACAGAUCAUAAAGCAAACAUGACUUUAAUAGCCAUCAUUAUUUGGACACUCACAACCUGCAUCUGGAGUUCUGUGGGACAGAUUCUGACACAAUCUGAAAAUCAAACAGUGAAUCCUGAUCAGACCGUCACUAUUCACUGUAAACACACACCAGCUGUGAAUUGUAUUAAAAAGGAUACCUCUCUGUAUUGUAUGGCCUGGUACCAUCAGAUUCCUGGAGAUGUUCCUAAACUCCUGACCUAUUACACAUCAGAGAGAGCUUCAGGUGUUUCUUCUAGAUUCAGUGGCAGUGAAAGUGGAAACCACAUGGAUUUUACUCUGACCAUCAGUGGAGUCCAGCCUGAAGAUUCAGGAGUUUAUUACUGUCAGAGUCAACAUGGUAAUAAAAAAAAAGACUCAGAGGAUCUAGACUGGGUGUUCACACAGUGUGAAAGCGUCGUACAAAAACCUCUUUGUGUGAGACUGCAGCGCUGCAGCUUUGAGCUUCUGCAGAUGUUGAAGAUCAUUAUUCACCUCACUGACUUCACACACAAACACAGAGAAUUUUAAAGGCUGCUGAACUGUUGAUGUUCAUUAUCAUUACACACUCUACUUUCAAAAUAUUUUAUCAAUAAUAAACACCAGAAUAUCUCAAUCAGGUUU